GGGCCAUCACUGACGCUCAUGGACGAAAGCCAGGGGAGCGAAAGGGAUUAGAUACCCCUGUAGUCCUGGCCGUAAACGAUGAACACUAGGUGUCGGGGGAAUCGACCCCCUCGGUGUCGUAGCCAACGCGUUAAGUGUUCCGCCUGGGGAGUACGCACGCAAGUGUGAAACUCAAAGGAAUUGACGGGGGCCCGCACAAGCGGUGGAGUAUGUGGUUUAAUUCGAUGCAACGCGAAGAACCUUACCAGGGUUUGACAUCCUGCGAAUCUCUUGGAAACAGGAGAGUGCCUUCGGGAACGCAGUGACAGGUGGUGCAUGGCUGUCGUCAGCUCGUGUCGUGAGAUGUUGGGUUAAGUCCCGCAACGAGCGCAACCCACGUCUUUAGUUGCCAGCAUUCAGUUGGGCACUCUAGAGAGACUGCCGGUGAUAAACCGGAGGAAGGUGUGGAUGACGUCAAGUCAUCAUGCCCCUUACAUCCUGGGCUACACACGUACUACAAUGCUACGGACAAAGGGCUGCAAGUUCGCGAGGACAAGCAAAUCCCAUAAACCGUGGCUCAGUUCAGAUCGUAGGCUGCAACUCGCCUACGUGAAGGCGGAAUCGCUAGUAAUCGCAGGUCAGCAUACUGCGGUGAAUACGUUCCCGGGCCUUGUACACACCGCCCGUCACACCAUGGAAGUUGGCCACGCCCGAAGCCGUUACUCCAACCCUUGUGGAGGAGGACGUCGAAGGUGGGGCUGAUGACUGGGGUGAAGUCGUAACAAGGUAACCGUA
This 774-nucleotide ribosomal RNA is filed under the name uncultured bacterium. Its description in RNAcentral is "bacterial SSU rRNA". It matches the Rfam family "Bacterial small subunit ribosomal RNA", at positions 731 to 1504 of the family's 1533-position model. The record is from RNAcentral.